AAAGAUUCUCAGCAAACUACAAAGGAAGCCACUGAAAACAAUUUUUCUGCAUUUCUAAACUGCACAAGAGAGGAAAGCUUCAAGGCUGUGUUAUAGACAUUCAACAAUACUUCAGAGGAAUCCUUAAAAGGAUUCCAAAGCCAGAGGACACUGUGAUUAUUUUACUGGAUCUUGUAUAUAAAUAGGCCAUGAAUUUCCAAACAGCGCCGAAUCUUUUCCCUUUGCAGCUGUCCAGGGACAACCAUGUACUUUUCCGGGGUCAAAUUAUCUUUGAAGAAUGGAAGGCAUUUGUAGUGUGUGCAGUAACAUAACUUAAAGAAGACAGGAGAGAAAAAAGAAGUGAAAAACUUGCAGCAUUAAGUGGGAGAUGCAUGAGGAAUGGGAAGUGAAGUCCCUUGGAAAGUGAAGUCUACUGGUGGUGUCCAGAGGAUAUUCUUUUCCCGUGGUCCUUUCCUGUUAAAAUGGAUGUGCUACAAUGGAAGUCUCUUACCAUGCCGGUUUGAAGGAGGCACUUCCUAUUUCCCUGGCGUGAGUCAUGGGGUUUAUCUGAACAGGGAAGAUGGGAUAACCUCCAACCAACAUCCCAGGUCAGCUGUGUGAGCCUGCCCAGGGCCUGCCCUUGCACCUCACAGCCAGGAGCCAGCACAGAGCCCCAUUUCCAGCCCCACGCUGCACACAAACCCACAGCAGCUCCCCAUCAGAGCAGCCCUGCUGUGGUUUCUGUGAGCACUUGUGACAAUUUCCUCUGCUGAUCAGAUCAUCAGUCAGAUUAGAAGCAGAACUUUGUAGAUCCCUAAGAAAUUUGCUCAUGGUGCAUCAGGUUUCUGAGACAGCUCUUCCCCACUUAGCAAGAAUUGAAGCUCAG
This is a long non-coding RNA of Passer domesticus (house sparrow), 865 nucleotides long. RefSeq lists it as uncharacterized. Lineage: Eukaryota; Metazoa; Chordata; Aves; Passeriformes; Passeridae. The transcript is spliced from 4 exons. The record is from RefSeq and is a predicted model, not a curated record.